This 480-nucleotide ribosomal RNA is filed under the name Veillonella parvula. Its description in RNAcentral is "bacterial SSU rRNA". It matches the Rfam family "Bacterial small subunit ribosomal RNA", at positions 28 to 480 of the family's 1533-position model. Lineage: Bacteria; Bacillati; Bacillota; Negativicutes; Veillonellales; Veillonellaceae. The record is from RNAcentral.
GACGAACGCGGCGGCGUGCUUAACACAUGCAAGUCGAACGAAGAGCGAUGGAAGCUUGCUUCUAUCAAUCUUAGUGGCGAACGGGUGAGUAACGCGUAAUCAACCUGCCCUUCAGAGGGGGACAACAGUUGGAAACGACUGCUAAUACCGCAUACGAUCUAACCUCGGCAUCGAGGAUAGAUGAAAGGUGGCCUCUACAUGUAAGCUAUCACUGAAGGAGGGGAUUGCGCCUGAUUAGCUAGUUGGAGGGGUAACGGCCCACCAAGGCGAUGAUCAGUAGCCGGUCUGAGAGGAUGAACGGCCACAUUGGGACUGAGACACGGCCCAGACUCCUACGGGAGGCAGCAGUGGGGAAUCUUCCGCAAUGGACGAAAGUCUGACGGAGCAACGCCGCGUGAGUGGUGACGGCCUUCGGGUUGUAAAGCUCUGUUAAUCGGGACGAAAGGCCUUCUUGCGAAUAGUUAGAAGGAUGACGGACCG